RNAcentral lists this ribosomal RNA (473 nucleotides) under uncultured bacterium. Its description in RNAcentral is "partial 16S ribosomal RNA". It matches the Rfam family "Bacterial small subunit ribosomal RNA", at positions 28 to 523 of the family's 1533-position model. The record is from RNAcentral.
GACGAACGCUGGCGGCGUGCUUAACACAUGCAAGUCGAACGGUAAGGCCCUUCGGGGUACACGAGUGGCGAACGGGUGAGUAACACGUGGGUGAUCUGCCCUGCACUUCGGGAUAAGCCUGGGAAACUGGGUCUAAUACCGGAUAGGACCACUGCCUGCAUGGGUGGUGGUGGAAAGCUUUUGCGGUGUGGGAUGGGCCCGCGGCCUAUCAGCUUGUUGGUGGGGUGAUGGCCUACCAAGGCGACGACGGGUAGCCGGCCUGAGAGGGUGACCGGCCACACUGGGACUGAGAUACGGCCCAGACUCCUACGGGAGGCAGCAGUGGGGAAUAUUGCACAAUGGGCGCAAGCCUGAUGCAGCGACGCCGCGUGAGGGAUGACGGCCUUCGGGUUGUAAAGCUCUUUCGCACACGACGAUGAUGACGGUAGUGUGAGAAGAAGCCCCGGCUAACUUCGUGCCAGCCGCCGCCGUAA